GUUUGCCAUUAUAAGAGGAACGAGAGGAGGCCCUCGUGCUGGCUUCCUUGAGGGAACGCAGUUCGCCAUUACAAGAGGAACGAGAGGAGGCCCUCGCAUUGGCUUCCUCGUGCGAUCGGAAGCACGGGUGCCGUUAGCCAUGGCUACAAGGACCCGUUGCAAAUGGAGGGGUUUUACAAGAUCCACCAUCUGUGAAAGCGGAAGGGCUACGAAGGCUAUCACGCUUGUUGGGAUGGACAGCCGUAGAUGAUGCAGGCGUAGAUGAGGGUGUUUAUGGGGUGAACUUGGAUGCAGAUCCCACGGGAGUGGGAGAAAACUUCUAUGAAGAGGAGCCCCUCCAGGAAGCGACAGAGUUUUACGGGCUAAAUCAAUAGAUACAUUUAUUUCCAUUCCUAAUUAUUGAUGCUUGAAACAUUUGGACCUUAUGGUCUGUACUAAAUGGUCCCCAACUGAGCGGACUAGAAUUUUAGAUAUGAUUUACUAUGAAAUGGUCUACCAUGGUUGCUUCUA
Long non-coding RNA from Magnolia sinica, 510 nucleotides. RefSeq lists it as uncharacterized. The record is from RefSeq and is a predicted model, not a curated record. The transcript is spliced from 2 exons. NCBI's taxonomy places the organism in Eukaryota, Viridiplantae, Streptophyta, Magnoliopsida, Magnoliales, Magnoliaceae.